Molecule: ribosomal RNA, 530 nt
Filed under: uncultured bacterium
Lineage: Bacteria
Description: bacterial SSU rRNA
Rfam family: Bacterial small subunit ribosomal RNA
Source: RNAcentral
CCUUGACAUCCAGAGAAUUUAGCAGAGAUGCUUUAGUGCCUUCGGGAACUCUGAGACAGGUGCUGCAUGGCUGUCGUCAGCUCGUGUUGUGAAAUGUUGGGUUAAGUCCGCAACGAGCGCAACCCUUAUCCUUUGUUGCCAGCACGUAAUGGUGGGAACUCAAAGGAGACUGCCGGUGAUAAACCGGAGGAAGGUGGGGAUGACGUCAAGUCAUCAUGGCCCUUACGAGUAGGGCUACACACGUGCUACAAUGGCGUAUACAAAGAGAAGCGACCUCGCGAGAGCAAGCGGACCUCAUAAAGUGCGUCGUAGUCCGGAUUGGAGUCUGCAACUCGACUCCAUGAAGUCGGAAUCGCUAGUAAUCGUAAAUCAGAAUGUUACGGUGAAUACGUUCCCGGGCCUUGUACACACCGCCCGUCACACCAUGGGAGUGGGUUGCAAAAGAAGUAGAUAGCUUAACCUUCGGGAGGGCGUUUACCACUUUGUGAUUCAUGACUGGGGUGAAGUCGUAACAAGGUAAGCGUAGUGCU